UUACUUUACUGGGAAGAGAGGAGGCGGGGAGAGAGUGCGUCAAGUGUGUGAGGAGAGGGAGAGGAGGAGGAGAGGAGUGGGGUGGUUUUGGAUUCGUUCUUCCCGGUCUCCUCGAGGCUUAGGUCCGAGCGUACCGGUUGGAGGACGUGGAGGGCCUGGAGCGCCGCCGGUCUGGCGGGCGCGGGCCGCAGCGCGCCUCCUCCCCCCGCUCCCAGCACCGCCGCCGCCGGCCCCCGGCGCACUUCGUCCUCCUCCGGCCCCGCCCCUGCCCCUCCCCCGCCCACUAGUCCCAGUGCCUGGGGCACGCCCUGCCCUCCGACGGCCACGGCCGGGGCGGCGGCGAGAAGAGGCACGGCUACUGCGGCCGGAGCCUCAGCGGCCGCCGCUGGUGCGCGGCCCUACUGCUGCUCCUCCUUGCCGCGUCCAUGAUGGAAUUGGACCCGAUGCGGUAGGCGUGCGAGUCCCUCCUCUAUGGGCUGCAGAAGAUGUUCCUCGGGUCGAAGCUAUAGAUGUCUCUACUAUAGCAGAAGUCUUUGGGAAAGUUAUUUAAGCUCCCGUAACUGUUAAUGUCUUCAGAUAAGACCCCUAACGCGAAAUGACCUGCAUAGAAGAAAUUUCGUAAUACCCAACUAUAUCAAUCAUAUACCGUCGGACGGCUCUUAGAAUAAUACUAAGCGACCUAACGGGUGCCGUAAGGAUCUCAGGGUACCCUACCGGUACGGGCGAAACUACCACGGAGGCAAAUGUUUGAGCUGUCCUUACCCUUCUAGAUACUCGUAUUCCAUGUAUUGUAACGAUGCUGGGGUGGCUGUUUCAUGUUCCAGGACAGACAUGUUCUCGAUCAGUCUAGUGAAUCGACAGGCAGGUGAGGUUUUGGUUGCAUAAAGCUCCGAAGUAGAGUUAGAAACUCGUGCCGCAGCGAAAUAAGCUCCAACCGUACCUAGUCUGCGGAUCGUUUAGAGUCUCCUCCUAUCCCACCCAGAAUCGUGCUAUGAAUGUUUUAGAUGGAAAAACAACAUAACAUCAAUGGUCAGUGACUACUCAUCAUGACUUAGUAUUGACAACAUAUAUACAUGUCUCUGUUUAAAUAUGUCUUAUUUCAACGAGAACCAACUCGAUUAAACCCCCACACGGACGAGGCCAAGGACUUCAGCGGCUAGACCUGUAACGUUGCCAGAGGUUUUGGCGCUCAGACUGAUGAUUAUGAUAACGUCAUAAUAUAGAUAUUCAGGUCUGAUUUUAAUAUAUAACACUUGUUAUACUUCAGGUCGUAAUAAUAUGGAUUUUAAUAUAUAACACUUGGUGUACUUCAGGUCUUAAGAAACACAGAUAAAACAGUACAACAUUUAUGAGUCUUGUCUUACCAACUCAUUUAGUUGACCUUUCUUGUUUCCACGUUGCAAGGGA
This 1407-nucleotide ribosomal RNA is filed under the name Triticum aestivum (bread wheat). RNAcentral describes it as "partial small subunit ribosomal RNA". The record is from RNAcentral. Lineage: Eukaryota; Viridiplantae; Streptophyta; Magnoliopsida; Poales; Poaceae.